AGAAUCAACGCUGGCGGCGUGCCUAACACAUGCAAGUCGCACGAGAAAGUGGAGCAAUCCACGAGUACAGUGGCGCACGGGUGAGUAACACGUGACUUAUCUACCUCCGAGUGGGGAAUAACUGAGAGAAAUCUUAGCUAAUACCGCAUAACACUUACGAGUCAAAGCAGCAAUGCGCUUGGAGAGGAGGUCGCGGCCGAUUAGCUAGUUGGCGGGGUAAUGGCCCACCAAGGCGAUGAUCGGUA
Molecule: ribosomal RNA, 245 nt
Filed under: uncultured bacterium
Lineage: Bacteria
Description: partial small subunit ribosomal RNA
Rfam family: Bacterial small subunit ribosomal RNA
Source: RNAcentral